GAUGAAGAACGUAGCGAAAUGCGAUAAGUAAUGUGAAUUGCAGAAUUCAGUGAAUCAUCGAAUCUUUGAACGCACAUUGCGCCCGCUGGUAUUCCGGCGGGCAUGCCUGUUCGAGCGUCAUUUCAACCCUCAAGCUCUCCGGAGUUUGGUGUUGGGGCGCCUGGGGCUUUUCGACCUCAGGGCCCUCAAGUCCAUCGGCGGGACCGCCAGGACACUGAGCGCAGUAGUAUUAUUUCGCUCGGUAGGAUCUUCCACGGCGGGUCGAUCUGGCCGCUAAACCCCCCAAUUCUCACCAAAGGUUGACCUCGGAUCAGGUAGGAAUACCCGCUGAACUUAAGCAUAUCAAUAGCGGAGGA
RNAcentral lists this unclassified non-coding RNA (356 nucleotides) under soil metagenome. RNAcentral's name for it is "partial contains 5.8S ribosomal RNA, internal transcribed spacer 2, and large subunit ribosomal RNA". The stretch from base 1 to 120 matches the Rfam family "5.8S ribosomal RNA", at positions 35 to 154 of the family's 154-position model. The record is from RNAcentral.